GUUGAGAGAACUCAGUUCAACAGUUCUCCUGUGCCUCUGUCUUCUUAAGGGCUAUGGAAGCUCUGCUGAAAUCUAAUAGCUCACAUAGGAUAUCAUAAAGAUGAGUCUGCUGUACAUGACACCUCUAAACUUUCAGCAAUAAGUAAUGAAGAACUGUGAGAACAGAGAAACACAGGAGAUCUGUCUGGAGCCUGUUUUAGAUGUUGAGCGUUUCAUUUAAGAGACUCUUUCAGUUCUCCACCAUUGCUGCAUUUGCACAUUAUGCACAAGAGGAGGAAAAUACUGCUUUUUCAUCACUGUUAAUGCUUUUCCAAGUGUCUUUGAAUGCACAGAGCUUAUGCUCGCUGUCUAGAAGGACUUACAUGAGAAGAGAGGGAUUCCUGUCUCUUUUAGUCUGGUCCCUCCCAUGACUGAAAACUGGAUUCUUUCAUGUUGAAGAUACUUAAUAUAAGAGGAUUUUCAACACCCCUCACCCCAGCUCUCAAUGCAGAUGUGUACAUUAAGGCCCUAAGCCACACUUCUGUCCCAGAAAAUGUUAGUUUCCUGUACUUCAGGCACGAUGAAAAUCCUAUCUGAAAGGCAAACUAUACCUGAAACAGGGAGGGGGAAAACAUGCUCAAAUUCAGUUGCCAGAAGUUUCUUAACAUGUGGGAUACAAUACAGAUCCUCUAACUGUGUUGGUACAGCAGCACAAAUAACAGUGAUGCAGUCUGCUUUGAAAGGUCUGUAAAUGCUGCAGCAUUUAAGAUUAUCUGGGGAUUUUUCAUUAAUCUCAGUUUUUGAUGGAUAAAACAUAAUGGGAUUUCUCGUAAGACUCUGAAUGGGUAAUAAGACAUAGAAAACCUCUAUGCUUUUUGUUUUAAUUCAAAUGGUCAUGCAUUAUUCAAGGUGAAAGCCUACUAUAUUAAUUUAGGAAACAUAAAGCACAGCUAAUACUGAUCCUUUCCUUCUUGCAAGGGAGGGAAUAACAUUUAAACAUGUUUAAUUGAUGCUAUUUUUUAAACCACAUGACCUAUAUCCCAGUAACUUGUUCUUUCCAAAAUCUCACUAAUGAACUACUAUGAAUAAAUGAGGGAGAACAGACAAUAUUUUCAGGGCUUCUUAAAAUAAAAUAAAAAAUCAAAGCAAAUUGAUCCUAUGUCUAAUGAAGGAGCUGCAUGUCGUCCUUGCUGGAAUUGUUUACUUAGAUUACCAGGAAAGGGAAUCCCUGUUCUUAGGGAUGGUUAUAGGGAAGUUUGAAUUACCUGAUGGACUAUUCAGUUGUGAUGAAGUCAGGAGACAAUACGAAUGCUGACAUCCUAGGUCUCAGAAAAUCAAACAGAAAAUUAUUUUCGAGCAUGAUUGUAUGCUUCUUUAAGUAUUCAUUCUAUAUUAGCAAAAAAUAUUGAUAAUAAAUAGCGGAAUAUUCCAAUAUAUCGUUAGCGUUUUUUUUAUGUCUGUUUUGUUUUCUAAUGAUGUCUUUCAAAUGCUUAUUUAUAUUACACAAAUGUCAUUUUAUGUAACUGAGCUGUCAUUUUCCUGUGUUUGGGAAUAUCUUAUCUCAUAAUUAGAGGUGUUGCUGCUGAAACAAGCUGGUGUGAAUUUGAAUUCUAUCCCAAAACCAUACCUAAGGAAAGUGCAUAAAAGUUAAUUUUGUGUACCCACGCUAGAUUACAUAGAAUACAGGAACCAUUUCUAAGUAUUGACAAAUGUGUAGUGUAAAAUUGACCCCACAUGAGUGGGUCAUUAGCGGUAUGAGUAAAAUUUGCUAACUUGGAUGGAAGUAGAAAGAGCUAAGAUUCAUGAUAAUGGAGAGUGCUGAAAGGAUACCUUGCUGUGAAAGAUACACUGCAGACAAAUACACUAUUUGCUAUAUUUACUGCAUAUAUUUCUGUCAAAUGUAUACAGUACUCUUGGGCAACCAUCAAAAAACAUUUGAAAUGUGUAUGGUACAAGCACAGAUGUAGAGUAUUUUAAGUUGCAAUAUGGGUGGUGUCCUCAUUGUUUCAUAAAAACGUUUGCAUACUUUUAAGCUACAUGUUUAUAAAACACUAGGAAGUGAAAUAUGUAUCUAAUUUUCUAAUAAUGUCCCAUUUUUUAUUAGUAUUAAGUGCCCCACUAUAACUGAAGAUUGUUGGAUAAAUGAAAUUUCCAGGAUGGGUGCAAUGACAUUACCAGGUUUGAAACAGAAGAGUGGGCUGGAAAAGUAACUCUAAACAUGGCUGUGCAGGCUAUAAUUAUAGCUAAAGGCUGUUCCUGUGGAAACAAAGGAAAAAAAAUCUUCCAAUGCAUUUUUAUUUUUAUUUUUAUUUUUACUUUUUUGGUGCAUAAAAUUAAGGAUUCCUUCUCUUAGAAAAUUAAACUCAUCAAAAUAUUCCAACACUUUUACUUUGCCCCAUAUUUUUAUUUCUAGUGCUUAUAGGUGGCUGAGGGUUUGUGAGCCAUACGGUGCUCCCCAUUGUAUGCCACGCUUAGAGCUAGGUGGGAAUAGCAUCUCUGCCUCCAGCUUCUCAGUGAGGGAGUUCCUCUGUUUUUCCAUAAGGAUUAGGUAUGCUAAUUCAUCCCAUAUGUAGAGAAUAAAUUACAUAAAUUUCCUUUAGAAGGAGGUAAUGUGCUUUUUCAGGAAAGAUGGGAUGGGAAUGAUAUACUCUUUUUAAGUAACAAGACUGAAAAUACCAUGGAAAUGGGAUCAUGAUGGAUUUAAA
This is a long non-coding RNA of Oxyura jamaicensis (ruddy duck), 2684 nucleotides long. RefSeq lists it as uncharacterized. Lineage: Eukaryota; Metazoa; Chordata; Aves; Anseriformes; Anatidae. The transcript has 2 exons. The record is from RefSeq and is a predicted model, not a curated record.